CGUAGCAGCUUUGCUCUGACUCGGCACCAACUCCUAAAAGGCUACAGUUGACGAGCGGCAAGAGGCAGAACAAACAUGCCUUCUCAAUCAGAAGUUUGUGUAUUCGUCAAAUAGACUGAUAUCUAAAUAGAAAUAGUUAUAUACAGCAUCCACCUUCACAUCCAGAGUGUUUUGUAGACAGGAUAAGGGUCAUUACAUUCUUUAACUCAGAUCUCAAGGAUCAGACAAACGGACUGACUAGGCAAGUCAGUUAAGAAUCAAUUCUUAUUUACAAUGACGGUCUACCGGGGAACAGUGGGUUAACUGCCUUGUUCAGGGGGCAGAAUGACAUAUUUUGACCUUGUCAGCUCAGGGAUUCAAUCCAGUAACCGAAUCCCUAGUGAACUCCCUGUCCUGGCCGAAGUCUAUGAAUCCCUAGUGAACUCCCUGUCCUGGCCGAAGUCUAUGAAUCCCUAGUGAACUCCCUGUCCUGGCCAAAGUCUAUGAAUCCCUAGUGAACUCCCUAUCCUGGCCAAAGUCUAUGAAUCCCUAGUGAACUCCCUAUCCUGGCCAAAGUCUAUGAAUCCCCAGUGAACUCCCUAUCUUUGCCAAAGUCGAUGAAUCCCUAGUGAACUCACAGUUAAACAAUUUCUUAAUUGAGUAGAACAUACUGAGCAGGGUUCAGUCUGGCUUUAGAUCGGGACACAGCACCACAACUGCAGCUAUGGCAAACAUUAAGGGACUUGAUAAAAAAACAAGAUUGUGCUGCUCUGUUUGUGGAUGUACAGGUAGUUUGUUCUAACCUCUCCUCUCUGUCAGGAUGUACAGUAGUUUCUUCUAACAUUUCCUCUCUCUGUCAGGAUGUACAGGUAGUUUGUUGUAACCUCUCCUCUCUGUCAGGAUGUACAGUAGUUUCUUGUAACCUCUCCUCUCUCUGUCAGGAUGUACAGUAGUUUCUUCUAACCUCUCCUCUCUGUCAGGAUGUACAGGUAGUUUGUUCUAACCUCUCCUCUCUGUCAGGAUGUACAGUAGUUUAUUCUAACCUCUCCUCUCUCUGUCAGGAUGUACAGGUAGUUUGUUGUAACCUCUCCUCUCUGUCAGGAUGUACAGUAGUUUCUUGUAACCUCUCCUGUACAUCCUGACAGAGAGAGGAGAGGUUACAAGAAACUACCU
This 1152-nucleotide long non-coding RNA is filed under the name Oncorhynchus mykiss (rainbow trout). Its description in RNAcentral is "lncRNA (ENSOMYG00000072173.1)". Lineage: Eukaryota; Metazoa; Chordata; Actinopteri; Salmoniformes; Salmonidae. The record is from RNAcentral.